Molecule: ribosomal RNA, 253 nt
Filed under: uncultured bacterium
Lineage: Bacteria
Description: partial 16S ribosomal RNA
Rfam family: Bacterial small subunit ribosomal RNA
Source: RNAcentral
UACGUAGGUGGCAAGCGUUGUCCGGAUUUACUGGGUGUAAAGGGCGUGCAGCCGGAGAGACAAGUCAGAUGUGAAAUCCACGGGCUCAACCCGUGAACUGCAUUUGAAACUGUUUCCCUUGAGUGUCGGAGAGGUAAUCGGAAUUCCUUGUGUAGCGGUGAAAUGCGUAGAUAUAAGGAAGAACACCAGUGGCGAAGGCGGAUUACUGGACGAUAACUGACGGUGAGGCGCGAAAGCGUGGGGAGCAACCAGG